RNA transcript from Jaculus jaculus (lesser Egyptian jerboa), 1056 nucleotides. It is a transcript of the gene named chromosome 13 C22orf39 homolog, with no coding region annotated. The record is from RefSeq and is a predicted model, not a curated record. Lineage: Eukaryota; Metazoa; Chordata; Mammalia; Rodentia; Dipodidae. The transcript is spliced from 3 exons.
UUGACAUGGCCGACUCUGGUGGCUGGCGGGUGAGCAUAGUGGGAACGCGGGAUGUGGUGGGGACUGGGGUGACAGGAUGAACCAGACCUUCCGCGAGGCACACCGUCUCUCCCCGCAGCCACCGCGGCCCUGCGAGGCCUACCACGCCGAGUGGAAGCUCUGCCGCAGCGCCGGGCACUUCCUGCACCACUACUACGUUCACGGUGAGCCGCCGGCCUGCGAGCAAUGGCUUCGCGACUUGGACAGCUGCCGCGACUGGGAGGAGCGCCGCAGCGCCCAGGCCCAGCAAUCCCUCUGCGACAGUGAGCGGACACGGGUCCAGGCUGCACGGAAACACACCCUGGUAUGGGCCCUGAGGCAGAAGCCCCCUGCAGACUGGCACCUUCCUCUGCCACAGGAGAAGGACAAGUGAUAAGUGACAAGCAAACCUGCUAUUGUCCUGUGCAGCCUCCUUGUCUAUUGCUUGUGCACAGCCCUAUGGACUUUAGCCCAAUGUAAUGGGUCCCAGUGAGCUACUGCCUGACCUGGAACACAGAGCAGGGCAUCUCCAGCUCUAACUGCCCUUCCUCACUUUCAUCAGGGUAUCCUGCUGCUGGGAUACUCUGAAAGACAACUGUUUACAAUUAUAGGAAGCCAAGUAUUGUGGCAAAAAUCUGUGAGCAGCCAUAUCAGCCCAUUCAUCCAUUCCACCUCUCCUGGGAACAUUAAAGGUGGCAGUCUUGAGGUGCAAGACUCUAGCUCAUCUUGUCUAUGGGAACCGGCCACCAUGUCACAGGUGUGGUGAUUACCUUAUAUUGUCAGCUGCUGGCAUUUAAGCAUGGAGUUCAUACUUGGAUCAACUCCACUGCAACACAGGUAAAGCAUGCUCAACAGACAUUGCAGCUGGUCCCACACACACAGCAGCACCCUUCUCUGCAGACCCUCAGAGAAGCACCUGAGGUGUUUGGGUUUUUGUUUGUUAGUUUAUUUUAACAACUUCCACGAUUGUAAAUAUCCCAUGGUAAUGCCUUCCCUCCCCCAACUUUCCCCUUUUAAACUCCAUUCUCCAUCAUAUCC